AUUCCCCUGCACCAUUUUGUUGUAGCGAAAUCCGGUGUUGAGCCUUCAGCUUGUGUGGAACUUGCAAAACAUGUUAGUCUGAAUUGCCCGAACCUUCAAUUUUGUGGAUUAAUGACAAUUGAGAUGCCUGAUUAUACAUCAACACCUGAGAAUUUCAAGACAUUAGCAAAUUGCCGAAGUGAGGUCUGCAAGGCUCUUGGAAUACCAGAAGAACAAUGUGAACUAUCAAUGGGAAUGUCUAGUGGCUUUGAGCUUGCUGAAAGGAUUAUUUUCAUUUUACCAUCUAG
Long non-coding RNA from Hibiscus syriacus, 287 nucleotides. RefSeq lists it as uncharacterized. The transcript is spliced from 2 exons. NCBI's taxonomy places the organism in Eukaryota, Viridiplantae, Streptophyta, Magnoliopsida, Malvales, Malvaceae. The record is from RefSeq and is a predicted model, not a curated record.